This 449-nucleotide ribosomal RNA is filed under the name uncultured bacterium. Its description in RNAcentral is "partial 16S ribosomal RNA". It matches the Rfam family "Bacterial small subunit ribosomal RNA", at positions 29 to 523 of the family's 1533-position model. The record is from RNAcentral.
AGCGAACGCUGGCGGCAGGCCUAACACAUGCAAGUCGAACGAACUCUUCGGAGUUAGUGGCGGACGGGUGAGUAACACGUGGGAACGUGCCUUUAGGUUCGGAAUAACUCAGGGAAACUUGUGCUAAUACCGAAUGUGCCCUUCGGGGGAAAGAUUUAUCGCCUUUAGAGCGGCCCGCGUCUGAUUAGCUAGUUGGUGAGGUAAAGGCUCACCAAGGCGACGAUCAGUAGCUGGUCUGAGAGGAUGAUCCGCCACAUUGGGACUGAGACACGGCCCAGACUCCUACGGGAGGCAGCAGUGGGGAAUCUUGCGAAAUGGGCGAAAGCCUGACGCAGCCAUGCCGCGUGAAUGAUGAAGGUCUUAGGAUUGUAAAAUUCUUUCACCGGGGACGAUAAUGACGGUACCCGGAGAAGAAGCCCCGGCUAACUUCGUGCCAGCCGCCGCCGUAA